RNAcentral lists this ribosomal RNA (497 nucleotides) under uncultured bacterium. Its description in RNAcentral is "partial 16S ribosomal RNA". It matches the Rfam family "Bacterial small subunit ribosomal RNA", at positions 28 to 507 of the family's 1533-position model. The record is from RNAcentral.
GACGAACGCUGGCGGCGUGCCUAAUACAUGCAAGUUGAGCGCUGAAGGUUGGUACUUGUACCAACUGGAUGAGCAGCGAACGGGUGAGUAACGCGUGGGGAAUCUGCCUUUGAGCGGGGGACAACAUUUGGAAACGAAUGCUAAUACCGCAUAAAAACUUUAAACACAAGUUUUAAGUUUGAAAGAUGCAAUUGCAUCACUCAAAGAUGAUCCCGCGUUGUAUUAGCUAGUUGGUGAGGUAAAGGCUCACCAAGGCGAUGAUACAUAGCCGACCUGAGAUGGUGAGCGGCCACAUUGAGACUGAGACACGGCCCAAACGCAUACGGGAGGCAGCAGUAGGGAAUCUGCGGCAAUGGACGAAAGUCUGACCGAGCAACGCCGCGUGAGGGAAGAAGGUUUUCGGAUCGUAAAACUCUGUUGGUAGAGAAGAACGUUGGUGAGAGUGGAAAGCUCAUCAAGUGACGGUAACUACCCAGAAAGGGACGGCUAACUACGUG